CCUACGGGUGGCAGCAGUAGGGAAUCUUCCAAAAUGGGCGAAAGCCUGAUGGGGCAACGCCGCGUGGGUGAAGAAGGUCUUCGGAUCGUAAAACCCUGUUGUUAGAGAAGAAAGGGCGUGAGAGGAACUGUUCACGUUUCGACGGUAGCUAACAGGAAAGACACGGCUAACAAAGGGCAAGCAGCGGCGGGAAUACGUAGGUGGCAAGCGUUAUCCGGAUUUAUUGGGCGGAAAGGGAAAGAAGGCGGUCUUUUAAGUCUGAUGUGAAGGCCUUCGGCUUAACCGGAGUAGUGCAUUGGAGACUGGGAGACUUGCGUGCAGAAGAGGAGAGUAGAACUCCAUUUGUAGCGGUGAAAUGCGUAGAUAUAUAGAAGAACCCCAGUGGCGAAAGCGGCUCUCUGGUCUGUAACUGACGCUGAGGUUCGAAAGCGUGGGUAGCAAACAGGAUUAGAUACCCGUGUAGUC
Molecule: ribosomal RNA, 465 nt
Filed under: uncultured bacterium
Lineage: Bacteria
Description: partial 16S ribosomal RNA
Rfam family: Bacterial small subunit ribosomal RNA
Source: RNAcentral